Molecule: long non-coding RNA, 893 nt
Filed under: Fukomys damarensis (Damara mole-rat)
Lineage: Eukaryota; Metazoa; Chordata; Mammalia; Rodentia; Bathyergidae
Description: lncRNA (ENSFDAG00000027921.1)
Source: RNAcentral
AGUGAGGGUUGGCGUGUGUCCUGCUGUGGUGUCCUACUGCAGUGUCCACUGGUGUGGCUGCUGAUUGCCUGGUAGCUGAUGAAAGAGACUGAUUGGAAGGUGUGAUUCCACCAGCUCCGCUUAUCACUGGCACCGUGUGGACCCCACUGGAUGAGGAACAGUGCUGUAGCUGUGGCGAGCAGGUGGGAGAUUGGUCGGUUGGUCCCAGCUGAACCUCACCUGAGACUUCUGAGAUGGGACAAGAGGAGCACGGGGUGUGUGUGGCUCCUCCUGGGAAAAUGGAACAGAGCAGGCCACAAAGAAGAGAAUUUUGGACCCCAUAAGAUGUGGGGAAGGCCCUGACAAGAUGGCUUGAACUGGAUCAGGGAUCAGAGUGCUAAACCCGUAAGCUACCUACCUGCUAAUUGAGCCUGGGUCCUACCAGAUUGACUAAAUUUGAUAUCACAGUUUUGAUAUUGUUGCCAUUUGUUCAGUUUUCAGUGUUCUAAUUUAAAAAAUUUAUUGGUGCACAGAAUUGAAUUCGUUGUUUUGCAAGACACCUCACCCGUACAUGGGACAGUAAUGGCCUUGUGGUCUCUUCCACUGAGGAUAGCCAAGCUAGUUGCUCUGCUAGAAGCCACUUGUCUAAUUAAGUAAAAAGUGCACAAUAGCUAACAAUUAAACUUUAAUUAGCCAUUGUUUCUGUUAACUGUACAGUUAAAUUUUAAUAGGAGGAGGGGUAAAUGGUCUCAUUGAGUUAAAUUAUAUUUUCUCUAAAGCAAAUUCUCCCAAACUUGUCCUAAUUGGGAGAGAAAGGAAAAAAAAGAAUUAUGAACUCAUUCCCAAACCAAAAAUUGUAGUCUAGGAAGUACACUUAGAAGCAAAGUGGAAAAAUGUUUUGCAUUAACUGACCC